Molecule: unclassified non-coding RNA, 329 nt
Filed under: soil metagenome
Description: partial contains 5.8S ribosomal RNA, internal transcribed spacer 2, and large subunit ribosomal RNA
Rfam family: 5.8S ribosomal RNA (bases 1-120)
Source: RNAcentral
GACGAAGAACGCAGCGAAAUGCGAUAAGUAGUGUGAAUUGCAGAAUUCAGUGAAUCAUCGAAUCUUUGAACGCACAUUGCGCCCCUUGGUAUCCCGAGGGGCAUGCCUGUUCGAGCGUCAUUUCACCACUCAAGCCUGGCUUGGUGUUGGGCGACGUCCCCUUUGGGGACGCGCCUCGAAACGCUCGGCGGCGUGGCACCGGCUUUAAGCGUAGCAGAAUCUUUCGCUUUGGAAGUCGGGGCCCCGUCUGCCGGAAGACCUACUCGCAAGGUUGACCUCGGAUCAGGCAGGGAUACCCGCUGAACUUAAGCAUAUCAAUAAGCGGAGGA